GUACUGGUUUCGACGGGGGAUAUGCAGCUGGAGAAGCGAGUCGCAUGGUAAUGCGUUAAAUGGCCAAAUUAAAAAUAAACGCUAACGAUAAUUUAGCAUACGCUGCCUAAUGGCGGCAGUCAGCCCUUGAGCACCUACGCUUAAGGAACCUGGCUUCGACUACGUAGGAAACGACACUGUCAAAGCUUUGAGACAGCGGGCGUAAUAUGAAGCUACCAAAACCAUCAGGGCGUUCGCCCCCGGGUGGCAGAGGGAAUGUCAAAGGGCUAACUACACUCGUAGAAGGACAGGGAAUUAUCCUUCGGACAUGGGUUCGACCCCCAUCUAGUCCACU
Molecule: transfer-messenger RNA, 334 nt
Filed under: uncultured Acetatifactor sp.
Lineage: Bacteria; Bacillati; Bacillota; Clostridia; Lachnospirales; Lachnospiraceae
Rfam family: transfer-messenger RNA
About the family: Bacterial tmRNA, also known as 10Sa RNA or SsrA, is named for its dual tRNA and mRNA-like properties.
Source: RNAcentral